CCGGUUCAAGAUAUUAGACUCGCGCCUGCCCAGUGACACAUGUUUAGCGGCCGCGGCACCCUAACCGUGCAAAGGUAUCACAAUCACUUGUUCCUUAAAUAGGGACCUGUAUGAAUGGCUCCACGAGGGUUCAGCUGUCUCUUACUUUUAACCAGUGAAAUUGACCUGCCCGAGAAGAGGCGGGCAUGACACAGCAAAACAAAACGAACCUAUGGAGACC
This 220-nucleotide ribosomal RNA is filed under the name Acanthodactylus cantoris cantoris. Its description in RNAcentral is "partial 16S ribosomal RNA". It matches the Rfam family "Bacterial large subunit ribosomal RNA", at positions 1834 to 2101 of the family's 2925-position model. The record is from RNAcentral. Lineage: Eukaryota; Metazoa; Chordata; Lepidosauria; Squamata; Lacertidae.